Long non-coding RNA from Oncorhynchus keta (chum salmon), 167 nucleotides. RefSeq lists it as uncharacterized. The record is from RefSeq and is a predicted model, not a curated record. The transcript is spliced from 3 exons. NCBI's taxonomy places the organism in Eukaryota, Metazoa, Chordata, Actinopteri, Salmoniformes, Salmonidae.
CUGUGUGUGUGUGUGUGUGAGGUGCUAACCACUCUGUCCUCCUCUCCAGGUGGGUUCUCUGUGUGUGUGUGAGGUGCUAACCACUCUGUCCUCCUCUCCAGGUGGGUUCUCUGUGUGUGUGUGAGGUGCUAACCACUCUGUCCUCCUCCUCUCCAGGUGGGUUCUCU